This 245-nucleotide ribosomal RNA is filed under the name uncultured bacterium. RNAcentral's name for it is "partial 16S ribosomal RNA". It matches the Rfam family "Bacterial small subunit ribosomal RNA", at positions 524 to 768 of the family's 1533-position model. The record is from RNAcentral.
UACGUAGGUGGCAAGCGUUGUCCGGAUUUAUUGGGCGUAAAGCGAGCGCAGGCGGAAAGAUAAGUCUGAUGUGAAAGCCCCCGGCUUAACCGAGGAAUUGCAUCGGAAACUGUGUUUCUUGAGUGCAGAAGAGGAGAGUGGAACUCCAUGUGUAGCGGUGGAAUGCGUAGAUAUAUGGAAGAACACCAGUGGCGAAGGCGGCUCUCUGGUCUGUAACUGACGCUGAGGCUCGAAAGCGUGGGGAG